This 519-nucleotide ribosomal RNA is filed under the name uncultured bacterium. RNAcentral's name for it is "bacterial SSU rRNA". It matches the Rfam family "Bacterial small subunit ribosomal RNA", at positions 29 to 536 of the family's 1533-position model. The record is from RNAcentral.
AACGAACGCUGGCGGCGUGGAUAAGACAUGCAAGUCGAACGCUCAAUUUUCCGUAGCAAUAUGGGAAGUUGGGAGUGGCGCAAGGGUGCGUAACACGUGGAUCAUCUACCAGGAAGUUCGGAAUAAUCCCGAGAAAUCGGGACUAAUGCCGGAUGUGGCGGAAACGCUAAAGUUGGGGACCGCAAGGCCUGACGCUUCUUGAUGAGUCCGCGGCCUAUCAGCUAGUUGGCGGGGUAACGGCCCACCAAGGCGAAGACGGGUAGCUGGUCUGAGAGGACGACCAGCCUCACUGGAACUGAGACACGGUCCAGACACCUACGGGUGGCAGCAGUCGAGAAUUUUUCUCAAUGGGGGAAACCCUGAAGGAGCGACGCCGCGUGGGGGAUGAAGGGCUUCGGCCCGUAAACCCCUGUCAUUUGCGAACAAACCUCAUUCAAUAACACUGGGUGAGUUGAUUGUAGCGAAAGAGGAAGGGACGGCUAACUCUGUGCCAGCAGCCGCGGUAAUACAGACGGUCCG